AUUGAACGCUGGCGGCAGGCCUAACACAUGCAAGUCGAACGGUAACAGGAAACAGCUUGCUGUUUCGCUGACGAGUGGCGGACGGGUGAGUAAUGUCUGGGAAACUGCCUGAUGGAGGGGGAUAACUACUGGAAACGGUAGCUAAUACCGCAUAACGUCGCAAGACCAAAGAGGGGGACCUCCGGGCCUUUUGCCAUCGGAUGUGCCCAGAUGGGAUUAGCUAGUCGGUGGGGUAACGGCUUACCUAGGCGACGAUCCCUAGCUGGUCUGAGAGGAUGACCAGCCACACUGGAACUGAGACACGGUCCAGACUCCUACGGGAGGCAGCAGUGGGGAAUAUUGCACAAUGGGCGCAAGCCUGAUGCAGCCAUGUCGCGUGUAUGAAGAAGGCCUUCGGGUUGUAAAGUACUUUCAGCGGGGAGGAAGGGAGUAAAGUUAAUACCUUUGCUCAUUGACGUUACCCGCAGAAGAAGCACCGGCUAACUCCGUGCCAGCAGCCGCGGUAA
RNAcentral lists this ribosomal RNA (506 nucleotides) under uncultured bacterium. Its description in RNAcentral is "partial 16S ribosomal RNA". It matches the Rfam family "Bacterial small subunit ribosomal RNA", at positions 30 to 523 of the family's 1533-position model. The record is from RNAcentral.